This 207-nucleotide long non-coding RNA is filed under the name Anser brachyrhynchus (Pink-footed goose). Its description in RNAcentral is "lncRNA (ENSABRG00000008620.1)". Lineage: Eukaryota; Metazoa; Chordata; Aves; Anseriformes; Anatidae. The record is from RNAcentral.
AAGGCUUUGAUAUGCUAAUAUCUGAUCUUACCAGCAGAAAUUAAUUCUACAGACUCAACUCCAGGGCAUAUCUCCAGGCAGCAAAAAGGACAGGAACAGAAGAGAUUGCAAGGGGUCAAGCUCUGUCUUCAGAGCUAGGGACACAACCCCUGUGUUGUUCCAAAGGCCCAUGAAACUGCCUUGGCCUCUACAGUGGAGACUGCUAGG